Molecule: unclassified non-coding RNA, 371 nt
Filed under: fungal sp.
Lineage: Eukaryota; Fungi
Description: partial internal transcribed spacer region
Rfam family: Eukaryotic small subunit ribosomal RNA (bases 1-46)
Source: RNAcentral
AAGUCGUAACAAGGUUUCCGUAGGUGAACCUGCGGAAGGAUCAUUAACACGUAUCCAACGUUAAACAACCCUGUGAACUUUAAGUCCCCUCUUGCAGCCCAUGAGGAACAGCAAUCCCGGUAAAUCAUUGCCAAACAGUUUUGAUUCGGGACCUCUGUCCAAAAGGAGUUGCAAUCGAAGGGUGGAAGCAGUGGCAUGGCUUCCCCAAGCAGUUAGUGAAUGACAGUGUCACUGACUGUGUAAGGAUAACGCCUCACGGUUGCUAGAGGUCGAUCACCGACCGGCAGAUCCACUUGAAAAUGCCCCGCCUAGUGGUAACGCGCUAGGUAAAAAAAACCGAACAACUGUUAACAAUGGAUAUCUUGGUUCUC